GCCAAGGGACGCCUCAAGGAGGAGACCGCCCGACGCUAUUUCCAGCAGCUCAUCUCCGCCGUCGCCUUCUGCCACGCCCGCGGCGUCUUCCACCGCGACCUCAAGCCCGAGAAUCUCCUCCUCGACGAACACGGCGACCUCAAGGUCUCCGACUUUGGCCUCUGCGCCGUCUCCGACCAGGCCCGCGCCGGUGACGGCCUCUUCCACACCUUGUGCGGCACCCCGGCCUAUGUCGCCC
Molecule: long non-coding RNA, 238 nt
Filed under: Elaeis guineensis (African oil palm)
Lineage: Eukaryota; Viridiplantae; Streptophyta; Magnoliopsida; Arecales; Arecaceae
Description: long non-coding RNA (EGUI_LNC016161)
Source: RNAcentral